Molecule: long non-coding RNA, 506 nt
Organism: Episyrphus balteatus (marmalade hoverfly)
Lineage: Eukaryota; Metazoa; Arthropoda; Insecta; Diptera; Syrphidae
Exons: 3
Source: RefSeq, a predicted model, not a curated record
UAUGUACAUAGUAUAAGUCAAAAAAAAAAAAAAAAAAAAUAAAAUUAAACUAAAACAAAAAAAUUGGAAAACAAGUUUUCAAAUCAAGUUUAAACGCACAUAAACAAACUCUUUUCGGUUAAGAAAAUGUACGCGAAAGUGACAUGUGUAGGAAGAAUGUUUAAAAAAAUCUCCAAAUAAUCUAGUACAGUUGAAUGGCCUCAUGCAUAUUAGAGAAAAGAGAAAACGGACAAAAACUGACAACUUGAAACAAAAAAUCAACCAUCAAAAUAAAUCAAAACAACAAAAGAUUUCUUUGCUAUUAGCUCACACCAGUUAGAGCUUUUUGAAAUGGAAUUGGUCACCGAUUUUGAAAUCAUUGUUCAAAAAAACGCACAUUCAAAGUUUUACACUAAAUUUCGUUAAGUUAAAUUAAAUUAAGUUCAAAAAUGUGAACCAUUUCUUAAUAUAAGGAAUGCAUAUACUUUGUAGAUAUAUAAAAACCAUUAAAUGAUACUUUUGAAUAA